RNAcentral lists this long non-coding RNA (887 nucleotides) under Cricetulus griseus (Chinese hamster). RNAcentral describes it as "lncRNA (ENSCGRG00000024559.1)". Lineage: Eukaryota; Metazoa; Chordata; Mammalia; Rodentia; Cricetidae. The record is from RNAcentral.
GGGCAGCUCUGCCCCACCCACCCCAAUGUCCAGGGACCCAGCCGAUAAUCCCACCUGUCCCCACCCUGCCCCGUCCGCCUAGGAGACCUUGUGGUUGGACAGCGUCUCUUUAAUCAUCAAGGACUCCUUGGAGGGGGAGCUGACCAUCAUUGACAACCUGUCCGGCUCCAUCUUCCACCACUACUCCUCACCUGCUGGCUGUGACAAGUGUCACCAUGACAAGCAAGAGGUGCAGCUGGCUGAGACAGAGGCCUUCUCCCUGAACUCAGACAGGUCCUCGUCCAUCCUGAUGGGGGAUGACCUGAGUCUCGAGGACCCCACAGCCUGCCCACAGGGCCCCAAGGAGAGCAAGGGUGAGCUAGAGCCUCCGGAGCCCUUGCAGGCAGGAGACCUGGAUGAAUGCUUUUUCCCCUUUGCCAAUGCGCCAGUGUCUUCAGGCCCAGAGAGCCUGCUGUGUGAGAUGGAGGCCAUCCCGUUCAAUCCUGUCCAGUCCUGGCUCAAACAUGAGAGCAGCCAAGCAUCCCAGAGCCCUUUCUCCCCGGAUGCCUCCAGUCCUCUCCUGCAGAUGCCUGCAGAGUUCUUCCAUCCCGCUGUGUCUGCCAGCCAGAAGGGACAGGAACCCGGCAUGAGUGCAGGGAACCUGCCCAAGAUCGCUCUUCAGGGCUCCUGGGCAUCCCUGAGGUCACCAAGUGUCAACUGCACCCUCUUGCGUCAGGCUACUGUGAGUGACACAUCACUGGAUGCCAGCCCUAGCAGCUCAGCUGGCAGCCUGCAGACCACAUUGGAGGACAGUCUGACACUGAGCGACAGUCCCCGCCGUGCCCUGGGACCACCUGUCCAGGUGUCAGGGCCACGAGCUGGCUUGUCACCAACCACCCGACGUCGCC